UACGAAGGGUGCUAGCGUUGUUCGGAAUCACUGGGCGUAAAGCGUGCGUAGGCGGUUUUUUAAGUCUGAUGUGAAAGCCCGGGGCUCAACCCCGGAUGUGCAUUGGAUACUGGAAGGCUAGAGAUUGGGAGAGGAAAGUGGAAUUCCGAGUGUAGAGGUGAAAUUCGUAGAUAUUCGGAGGAACACCAGUGGCGAAGGCGACUUUCUGGACCAAUACUGACGCUGAGGCACGAAAGCGUGGGGAGCAAACAGG
RNAcentral lists this ribosomal RNA (253 nucleotides) under uncultured bacterium. Its description in RNAcentral is "partial 16S ribosomal RNA". It matches the Rfam family "Bacterial small subunit ribosomal RNA", at positions 524 to 776 of the family's 1533-position model. The record is from RNAcentral.